Molecule: ribosomal RNA, 449 nt
Filed under: Blastocystis sp. subtype 1
Lineage: Eukaryota; Bigyra; Opalinata; Blastocystidae
Description: SSU rRNA
Rfam family: Eukaryotic small subunit ribosomal RNA
Source: RNAcentral
ACAAUGCGGGACUAUCAGUCUUGCAAUUGGAUUGAGAACAAUGUACAACUCUUAUCGAUAAGCCAUUGGAGGGCAAGUCUGGUGCCAGCAGCCGCGGUAAUUCCAGCUCCAAUAGCGUAUAUUAACGUUGUUGCAGUUAAAAAGCUCGUAGUUGAAGUGUGGGUGAUCGCUGUUGUGAGACUUCGGUCUCUCGACAGUAAGUCACCCCCUUCCAGUAUCCAGUAGUGGGUAUUCAGUUACUUACUAUUGUGUGUUGGUCAUUUACUGUGAGAAAAUUAGAGUGUUCAAAGCAGGCGUUUGCUUGAAUAGAUUAGCAUGGAAUAAUAAUUGAAGGCUUUCGUGUUCGAUUUGAUUGGUUUGUUCAUGGAAGCAAGGUUAAAAGGAACAGUUGGGGGUAUUCAUAUUCACUAGUUAGAGGUGAAAUUCUCGGAUUUAUGGAAGAUGAACAA